This is a long non-coding RNA of Oncorhynchus kisutch (coho salmon), 545 nucleotides long. RefSeq lists it as uncharacterized. NCBI's taxonomy places the organism in Eukaryota, Metazoa, Chordata, Actinopteri, Salmoniformes, Salmonidae. The record is from RefSeq and is a predicted model, not a curated record. The transcript has 3 exons.
AACAGUCUCAGGGUGACAGACCUAGUCCUGGACGCCUGCAUUACCUGGCUUACUGGGACACAGCACAGGCCUAUGGCACCAAGACUCUGGAGCCUUUGGAGCCUCUGGAGCCUUACAGGCAGUACUAUCCAGAUCCCCACCCUGCCCACACCAUUCAGCUGAUGAUGGUGGCCAAGCUUUAGCACUUCCUGGUUUGCCUGGAGGACGCACAGCACAAACUGAGACUGGUGCUGAACAAUUGCUAUGUCUGCCCUAUCCCAGUCUCCCCUCAUCUACAGUCUCUCAGGGCUUUUGGACAGGAGGAUACAACGUUAGAGUGUACGACAGACACGGCCUACAGUAUGACAUCAUGAAGGCUACCCAUGGCAACCAGCACCCCCUGACCUCAUCAGGAGGUUGGAGGAGUGUCGGGUGGAGAUGGACUGCGCUUAGCAACCCGCCCUAGCGAGGGGAUUUGAGACGUCCACGGCUGUUCAGAAAGUAGUACAUGUUGGUGAUGAAGAGCUGUGCCAUGAUAUGUGGUAAUAAAAUGAUCAUUUCCUGGA